This 238-nucleotide long non-coding RNA is filed under the name Phoenix dactylifera (date palm). Its description in RNAcentral is "long non-coding RNA (PDAC_LNC011823)". Lineage: Eukaryota; Viridiplantae; Streptophyta; Magnoliopsida; Arecales; Arecaceae. The record is from RNAcentral.
UCGAGGGACAGUAGGGAUGAAUAUUUUGUGGGGUUUGAAAAUUCUGAGGAUUUUGAAAAUUUUGGGAGUAGGGUGGGGCAGUAUUCGAAGCUUGCUGCUUCCAAGAAAAGUUUAGAUGAUUCCGCCAUCCCAGGUUAUAUGUAUUGAAAAAUGGGUCAUUACCCGGUCUGGGCUAUGUUUGAGCAGCAUUGAUGUGUUCUUGCAUGAGUUCGGAGAAUUGGGGUGCUGAGGGGCACUC